UACGGGGGGAGCAAGCGUUGUUCGGAUUUACUGGGCGUAAAGGGCGCGUAGGCGGUCGUGACAAGUCACUUGUGAAAUCUCCGGGCUUAACUCGGAACGGUCAAGUGAUACUGUCGGACUAGAGUACAGAAGGGGCAACUGGAGUUCUCGGUGUAGCGGUGAAAUGCGUAGAUAUCGAAAGGAACACCUGCGGCGAAGGCGGGUUGCUGGGCUGAUACUGACGCUGAGGCGCGAAAGCCAGGGGAGCGAACGGG
RNAcentral lists this ribosomal RNA (254 nucleotides) under uncultured bacterium. Its description in RNAcentral is "partial 16S ribosomal RNA". It matches the Rfam family "Bacterial small subunit ribosomal RNA", at positions 524 to 776 of the family's 1533-position model. The record is from RNAcentral.